UGUGUGUGUGUGUGUGCGUGUGCGUGUGUGUGUGUGUGUGUUUUCUAGAGAUAGGGUCUCACCUAGGCUGGAGUGCAAUGGCAUGAUUCUAGCUCACUGCAGCCUCAAACUCCUGGGCUCGAGUGAUUCUCCUACCUCACCCUCCCAAGUAGCUAGGACUACAGAUGUAUGCCACCAUGCCCGGCUAAUUUUUUAAUUUUUUGGUAGAGAUGGAGUCUUGCUAUGUUGUCCAGGCUGAUAUUUAGUAUAAUUUUAAUUAACGUUAUCAGUAGAAAAAAGACAACAAAUACAUCAAACUGCUUUUGAAUGCUAGGACCAUGAAUAAUGUUUCUCUUUGUACUUAAACAUUUUCUAUAAUUAUAAAAACUAAGUUCAAGGCAUAUCUGGAAAUACAUUUAAAACCUCAAAUUGUUAGCCGGGCAUGGUGGCUCACACCUGUAAUCCCAGCACUUUGGGAGGCCGAGGCGGGCAGAUCACUAGAGGUCAGGAGAUCAAGACCAUCCUGGCUAACACAGUGAAACCCCAUCUCUACUAAAAAUACAAAAACAAAGUUAGCCAGGUGUGGUGGUGGGCGCCUGCCCUAGUCCCAGCUACUCAGGAGGCUGAGGCGGGAGAAUGGUGUGAACCCGGGAGGCAGAGCUUGCAGUGAGCAGAGAUUGCACCACUAUGCUCCAGCCUGGGCGACAGAGUGAGACACCGUCUCAAAAACAAAAACAAAAACAAAAAACAAAAAACCCUAUUUAUUUUUUAUAUUUAUUUACAUAACUUUGAAAACAAAAAUGAUACUUAAGACAAAAAGUGUUUCAUUGGAAACCCAUUUCCAUUUCUUUUCCUGGACAUGUCUUUUCUAAUACUGCUCAUUAGCGUCUACAAUGUGGAAGCAAGUCCUGAGUGAAUAUGCAACCCUGCUCCACCUAUGGGGAAGUGGGACCAGAACCAGAAACAUCAGCACACAGGGACACAGCCCUGGAAACACAACCUCUGCUUUCAAAGCAGAUUGGCCACUAAGAGUUUUUAUUACCUAUUUUCUUUGCCAUAUUGUAGUUCCCAAUUCUCAAAAAUAAAAAUGUUAAGAGAAAUAUGAAAGACGGCUAAAAAGAGAGAAGAAACAAUGAAAAAGGAGAUGGCUCAUGCCUGUAAUCCCUUUGGGAGGCCGAGGCGGGUGGAUCACGAGGUCAGGAGAUCAAGACCAUCAUGGCUAACAGGAUGAAACCCCGUCUCUACUAAAAAUACAAAAAAUUAGCCGAGCAUGGUGGCAGGAGCCUGUAGUCCCAGCUAACUGGGAGGCUGAGGCAGGAGAAUGGUGUGAACCCAGGAGGCGGAACUUGCAGUGAGUGGAGAUCGCACCACUGCACUCCAACCUGGGCGACAGAGCAAGACUCCGUCUCAAAAAGAAAAAGAAAAAGAAAAAGAAAAAGGACAGAAGGGCAAAAAAGAAACAGGUACAGGGGACAUGGAGAGGUGGUCAGGGACACGGAUAUGGGCACAAGAAAGAGGAGGGAGAGAGAGAGGAGGAAGUUCUUGGCACAGAACUAGUCCUUCUCUACCCUCGAUUUAUUCUCAAGAAAUAAGAAAGUACGUUUUGUUUUGAUAGUCACUUAAUAGCAACAUGAACUGGCAGGUAGGAGAGUGGAGUCAGUGGAAACAGCUGCCAAAGCAGGGGUCAUGGAGAAGAACCAUAGGCAGGCAACACACACACACUGUGUGUGCUCCGCAACAAAGGUGCCAUUAGUCUCAAAGCAUAGUGGAUCAGUGAGUUGGGCUUAUGAAUGUUCCCAAGUCUUUUCCACUUCUGACCACAUUUUGAGUAUGUGUUAAUCAAAUUCAUCUCCUAAAUAUUUAGUAUAAGGCUUUAUGUAAUGAGUUCUCAAAUGCAUGUUGCUGAGCCACUGACAGCAGGAAACAAGCUACCUCCCACCAGGAAACCACUAACUAGUUUAUAUGCCUGUAACACAUAUCACUGUAAUUCUGGGUCCUAACAAAAACCUUUUUCAUAAAAACGGGUACCAGUCAGGAAGACCCAAAUGCAUAUUAGGGAAGUAAUUAUCUAUUACUCUCUAGGAUACUGAUAAAGGAAGGGACUUCCAUGUCAAUUUCUAAAUAUUCAAGAGGCCUUGAAUAUCCCAAGGUGCCUGUUAGGGUCAUUAUUUUGAAACUAAAAGCAGACCUGGCCUCUUCUGAUUAAGAAAGCACACACACACACACUUUUCACUCUGACUGUUGACAAUUCAAGCCCAUGCACAGUACAUGCUUCCUUGGGAAUACCUCUCGUGUAUAUACUCUGGUAGGGCCAGGCCUAUAGGGGCAUCCUGUUGCCUUCAAUGCUGAACUUGACAGCACGAUGCACUUUGCUGAGUCGUUUCUGUUCUGCAAAUCGCCUCUUAUGCUUUUCCAAUCGGCUUAGGCCCUUUUUAAGAAUACCAGGCUAGAAGUAGUAGUUUGAUUGGAGAAUAAAAAGAGAUUACUGAGAAACACUGAAGAUCCACUGAGCAGUAUUUACAAUGAUAACAGAAUAAGUGUCUACCCUAAUCAUUUGCAAUGGAAUUGCUUAAACCGUUGAAGAGAAAGGGAGAGGUAGGUCUGCUGAAGCACGUAAGCUCUGUUUCUCAUGGUUAUUAAAAAAAAAAAUUCACUGUAUCAGAAUACUCCAGGUUUCAAUUUCAAGCCUUGCUUGAAGUAAAGGGAUUAAUAAGAAGAAACUUCCCUACCUGAUAAUGUUGAAUUAAGACUGAAGAAAAAUUCAUCAGCAAUAAACUUUAAUCCUGGGUAAUACUUUUCCUUUCUCUAUUGCUCAAUUUGUGGUUUGGCUAGAUAAGCGACCAGAAAACAGUCCUCUCUGAAUCAGACAAACUUCAAGAGCUACAAGGGUUAUUAACACAUGAAGUAAAGAGUCAAACAGUAAUCUGCAGGAACUCGGAAACGGGACCCAGAAAGUUGUUUUCUCAAGUGGAUGGAACAACACAAGCAAUCAGUAUCCUGAAACAGGCCCUGUUCCAACAAACUGACCCAGAAAGCAAGUAUGAGGACUCCUGUUUCCCUACGUACUCACUACUACAGCAAAGAUAUCAAACAUUGAUACCCACCAAUCUCUGGAUGGAAAAACAAAUCUCAGGAAUCGCUUGCAGGAGGCUCUGCACGUUCCUCAGAUUCAGAGUCGCUGUCCUUUUGCCUGUGAAGCUCCUCACUUUCAGAGUCACUAGCAUUAAGAUUUAAGGGCUCAUCGUUCUCAGAGUCUGUCACAUGAUGUCCUUUGGGGAGGCCAUCUUCUCGAUCACUAGUUUCAUUCUGAAAAAUAAAGUGAGAAAAAAUUAGGAAAGUGCAAAAAAAAAAAAACCAUUAAU
This 3341-nucleotide long non-coding RNA is filed under the name Homo sapiens (human). RNAcentral describes it as "PREDICTED lncRNA (TCONS_00151136)". The record is from RNAcentral. Lineage: Eukaryota; Metazoa; Chordata; Mammalia; Primates; Hominidae.